This 30-nucleotide non-coding RNA is filed under the name Homo sapiens (human). The record is from RNAcentral. Lineage: Eukaryota; Metazoa; Chordata; Mammalia; Primates; Hominidae.
UCAGAGGUCAGAACUGAGGAGGGAAGUGGU